Long non-coding RNA from Suricata suricatta (meerkat), 1890 nucleotides. RefSeq lists it as uncharacterized. The transcript has 3 exons. The record is from RefSeq and is a predicted model, not a curated record. Lineage: Eukaryota; Metazoa; Chordata; Mammalia; Carnivora; Herpestidae.
AAGGAGACAGGGAAUCCGAAGCCGGCUUCUGGUCUCUAAACUGCUAAGCAAGGAGCUCGGAGCUUGAUGCGGGGCUUGAACUCCCAAACCGCAAGAUCAUGACCUGAGCUGAAGUCGGACGCUCAACCGACUGAGCCACCCCGGCUCCCCUUGGGAACUUAAUUCUGAGUGAACAAAGCCCAACACAGAAGGCCGCAUGUGUGAUUUCGUGCAUAUGAGAUGUCCAGACUAGGUGACGAAAAUGUCCUGGAAGAUCUUGGUGAUGGUUGCACAAGACUGUGGGUAUACCAGAGACCGCUGACGUGCCCACUUUAGAAAGAUGCAGCUUUACGGUUGUGUGAAUUAUAUCUCAAAUUUUUUUUUUUUAAGUAGAAAACACCGGUAGCCAUCCUAAGUCCGUGCGAGAGAGCGCCACCACGAUCAGAGAAUGAAAGCUCUAUCUGGCUGUGGUGCUUGGACAACGUGGCGUAGUUAGCUGGGCCAAGGGAGGCAGAGAAGAGCUGCGGAGGCAGAGGGACAGCAGUGCAAAGGUCCUGGGGCCCAGGCGAGUCGGAGCUAAGGCCUGUGUUGCUGGUGCACAGAGGGACGGGACAGGACAGGAUCUGAUUGGCAGAUGGGCAGGGCCAACUUGGUGUCCGUCCUGGGAGCCCUGGGGAGGGUUUCAAGCUGGAGUGAGGGAGCCGAAGGCCCAAAGGAUGUGGAUGGGCCGGGGGCUGAGCAGGUGGAGGAGGGGGAGGAGUGUUGAGCCAUCCUGCUGGGGAAUCGGAAGGGCAGAGUGGAGUUCAAUGGGAUGACUCUAGCAGGAGAUGAAAGGCAGGCUUCGAGAGGGGCGGCAGGAAGGACAGAUUCUGGUGAUAAGAAAGGGAAAGUUUGAGGCUGGACCUAGCCCGAGGGCUUCGUCCUGUGCUGUCCAGAGCAGGAAUCUGCCUCCCGGUCACUUAAGCUGCCUGGGAGCUCCGUGCCCGGCUGGGGCGGCCCUCUCUCUAGGGCCCCAGCUGCCCCAGGCCUGAGGAGAGUUGGCCAGUGAGUGAAUGAGCAGGGGGGUAUGCUGGGUUGUCACAGUGCUACUCCAAAUUGUGACCCGUUCCAUCUGUGACAUCUCCCCCACCCCUGGAGCACAGGCCUACCUACUCCGAUCCUUCCUGGUCUCCAGUUCUGCCCCCUGACUGCCCGCUGUGACACCCCACCGGCGCGUCCUCGAGAGAGGUUUGCCAGUUGGAUGAAUAAGGAAAUGAGUGAAUGAAUGGACCACCCAAUCUCCACCAAGCACCAGCUGGGCCCCCAGAUUCAGAGACGACAUCCUCAGCUCCCUGGCACCCUCCUUCUGACAGCUCCCAGCCUGACCCCUCUCCAGUGAUGACCGUGGCUCCGUCAUCCAAUGCCAUAGAUCCAGCGUGUCAUUGCCACUUAAACCCCAUCUCAGUGCGGAACAGCCACAUUUCAGGUGCUCAGGCGCUAUCUGGCUGGGGACCGUCGUAUUGGACAAUGCAGCUCAGGGGCCGCUAAUCAGAGGGGGCUUCCUGGAGUAGGUGAUAGCUGCAGUGAGGCUUGUGGGAGCUUCCCUGGAAGUUCAGAGUGGGAGGUGCGGCAGGAUUUCUAAAGACAAGGAGAGCUCAGACCCUCACUGGUUCAUUCCUUCUUUCACCUGUUUAUUCAUUCAUUGUGCACUGGAGCCUCCCGGGGGGUUGGCCACAUGCUGAGGGAAGCGGACAACACGGCCAGACACGGCCAUGGGUCUGAGCGGGCCACCGCUCUUCAGAUGACCAGCCAUUAUUAAGCACUUGCUGUAUACCAGGCACUGUUCUAAAAGCUCCCUCGUGAUGCUCAUAAUCUGAAGUGGAAGCCAAAAUGAGACCAUAAAUAUAAAUAAAACAGUUACAUGGUGUGAAA